RNAcentral lists this small RNA (394 nucleotides) under Arabidopsis thaliana (thale cress). RNAcentral's name for it is "ATSL270300". The record is from RNAcentral. Lineage: Eukaryota; Viridiplantae; Streptophyta; Magnoliopsida; Brassicales; Brassicaceae.
AUUUUAAAAGCCUAAGUACUGUAUCCUUGUUAGAAGAUACAAAGACAAACACUCAUACGGACUUUGGCUACACCAUCAAAGCUUUGAGAAGCAAGAAGAAGCUUGGUUAGUGUUUUCGAGUCGAAUAUGACUAGAUGUGAUGUGUAUGAUUGAGUAUAAGAAAUUAAACCGCAAUCGGAUCUUAAAAGCCUAAGUAGUGUUUCCUUGUUAGUGUUUUGGAGUGAAAUAUGACUAGAUGUCAUGUGUAUGAGUGAGUAUAACAACUAGAACCGCAAUUGGAUUUUAAAAGCCUAAGCAUUGUAUCCUUGUUAGAAGAUACAAAGACAAACACUCAUACGGACUUCGGCUACACCAUCAAAGCUUUGAGAAGCAAGAAGAAGCUUGGUUAGUGUUA